Molecule: long non-coding RNA, 3639 nt
Filed under: Macaca fascicularis (crab-eating macaque)
Lineage: Eukaryota; Metazoa; Chordata; Mammalia; Primates; Cercopithecidae
Description: lncRNA (ENSMFAG00000048703.1)
Source: RNAcentral
UCUUUUAAUGGCUGUGUAGUAUUCCAUGGUAUCCCUAUCAAUCCCUUUACUGGGUAUAUACCCAAAGUAAUAGAAAUCAUUCUGUUUUAAAGACACAUUGCAUAUGUAUGUUUAUUGCAGCACUGUUCACAAUAGCAAAGACAUGAAUCAACCUAAGUGUGGACACUUAAAUCACACUAUUUUCAGGCGGAACAAAGCCACAUGGUAAUUCAAGCUAAGCUGACAAAUUCCACCAUUACCUUGAGUUCUCCAGGAAGAAAAUAUACAAGCGGAGACAAUCUCAUAACACAACUUGUAACAUCCGUCACCAAGAAAAAAGGAAAUACAGCAUUUCUUGAAUGCCAGAUAAAAUCCAGUACCUUCAAGAAGAAUAUGGAGACACCAAAAUGAGAAUAUCUCAGGAUCAACUCUCCUCCACACGCAGACAAGACAGAACAGUGCACAUAAGGUGCAAGCUAUCUGGGGUUCUUCUCGAGAAGACCGUUGUGCACUGGUAUCAACAAAAAGAAGGGAAGCCCCUGAGACGAAUCCUUUAUGGCUCAGCCAAAAGUUACAAGCAAGACAGGCCCAAUCCCCGCUUGGAGGCAGAUGAUAAACAUGAUGGUAUUUUUUACCUGAUCAUUAACAAUGUUGCCAAGUUGGAUGAAGCCACUUACUACUGUGCCUGCUGGGAUCUCACAAUGUCACAGAGUCAGAAGGGACCUGAAAGAAAACCUUCCUAUGACCACCCCCUGACUGCUUUCAUACUCCUGCAACCACAACAGACUCCUAAAUGCUCUUGUUCAUUGGUUCAUAGGCUGUUUGAACAGGGAGGGCCCUUGGAACAUAUUUAGCCCAAUGUCCCCACUUCAAAUGAGGAAACUGGGGGCACAGAGACAGCAAGUGACUUGUCUCAAGCUAGUUAACCACAGAGGUAGGGCCACACUCUUGCAUUUCAGAUUCUCAGUCCAGUGCCUCUUCCUGCCUCUCUUGUGGUCUGUGUUGAACUUCUUUCAGCAGAAUCACAUUUCUUUCAAAAGGGAACUGUGACAACUUCCCUAUGCGUCGUCUUCCUCAGUGGUACCCCUAGGCCCCAAUUAACUCUGAUAUCGGCCAAACAUGUAACUACCACACUGCUGAGAAGGGGACAAAGGUCAGCAGGGAUGGACUCCACACUCCAUCUACCCAUGUUGUCUUCCCAUAGCUAUUUACUGCCCUUUGUUUCUAUAGCUUCCUAUCUGUUCUGAAAUCCCUACUAAUCAGAGCAGUUUCCCUGGUAUGCCCAUCACACAUAUGGGCAAGUGGGAAGUAGAGAUUAACUUUUCUUCUGACUACAUUAGUAAAUUCUUAUAAUAGAAGUGCCUGCUGAACCAAGGCUGGAAUUUCCUACUCUUCACUCUGAAACCUGGAACCAAUCCUAAUUGGCUGGCCACACACUUGUUUCAAAUUGGGUAGCCCUGGCUUGAUUUCUGCUCUCUUAGAGUGACCUAGGCCUUGUUCAUGUCCAAGGCCUUACCAGCCACACCUAGAAAAUAGCAAGAACAAUAGUAGCAACCAUAUCUAUAUCAUUACAUUAUAGCUCCGUACCUCUCUUUUUGGAUGUCUGACAAGUAGCCAAAAAAUUAUUGAUUCCAAUUCCACUCCCUUCCCCCAAUCUCCAAGCAUGUAUUAUUUUCCUCACCAGACUUUCCUAUUGCAGUAAAUGACAACAGUAUAUUGUAUCAUCUGAUGCAAUGGCAAGGGUUUUUCUCAAGCAGAUAGUGUUUUGUUGACUUCCAUGUUUUUUUGUUUCUCCUGGUAAUGAGAGAAGAGUGAGGAGACCCAACUAUUAUUGAGUUUCCUGUGAUAUGAGAUCUGAAGGGAGGUUAUAGGACCUCUGGAAACUGGUUUCACCUGCCAGAAAGACACCCACAAACCAGGCCCAACCUUGUGUGGCCCAAUCUGAGACUGGAGUAGGCUGUCUCAACAGAUCCCCCAACCGAAACACUACGGACCCAAUGUAGAGAACACCUAGUCUUCUAACUUACUGCAGGUUUAGAAACUCUUUGUGUUCCCCCUGACAUGUGCAGGGCAACAGGCCAGCCAUGACAGCAAUGAUUGUCAUUCUGAAGUGCAUGGCUCAAAUGGCCUCAUGGAUGUUAUAAUCUCCUGGUGUCACUGAAAGACAAAUACAAAGAAAAUAAAUUGUGAGAUAUAAUUUGAUAUUCAGAUUCAACUAGUCCCACUCCUCACAGAUUAUUUUGCUAGGUGCUGGCACUGCCUACUCAUUGCUUUUUUGAAUAUGCAAAUCAGCCAUUUCAUCUGCUUUUUAUUUCAUUUGAUAUGCUCUGUGCUUCCUAGAAAGCAAUACCCAGCAUCCUUUAUAUGGCCAUUUGAGAUACAGAUUCUCUGUAUUAUACAGACCUAGACUAUACCUGGGAACUGCGUUCCUUACACAUAUCUUUCCAAGUAAUUGAUGAACAGGGUUUGGGAUCCAGAAAAUUUGCACUGAAAUCCUGGCUCAGUUUCAACUCCCUAAUUCUGUUUCCUCACAUGACUUUUAAUAGUAAUAACCAUUUAUAGGGUAAGGCAGAAAGAGAGAAAUGCAUAAUUGGUGCCUGACUCACGGUAGACACUAUAUUUAUGAGUUUUCUUCUCUUUCAAUAUCAAAAAGCACAGGACCAUGGAUUGUCAUCCUGGAGCAGGGGGAAGGGAAGCCAAAAGGAGAUUUGGGGCUUAGAGUAGAAUAUUAAUUUCCCAAGACAUUCUUCCAGACACAAGUCUUUUUAUGCAAACAUUUCUUGUUUGUCAAAAAGAAACAAGUGUUUCACCAGGCAUGUUGCCUGUGGGAGUAGUAUCAGUUGAAAAGUGUCUAUAAUAUGCAUAGUGGCAUGUUAAAUACCCCAAGUGAAAAAGAAACCCUAAAAGACUAAAUCAUCAGGUUAAGAAUGAAGGCAGGUGGCACAAUUGCUAAAAGGGAGACUGAUUGAAAGCGCAGUGACCUGGCCUCUCCCAAACACUGCCCCGGUGUUUUCAGAAACAAGUAAAGAUCCACUGGACUAUAUCGUAACAUAUCUGAUAUCAUCUAAGUGAUGACAUAUGUGAAAUCAAAUUAUGCUAAUUUUUGAAAGUUAGUGGUCCACAGAUGGUCAGUAUGUGAUUUUUUAAUCUCUUGUACAUGUCAGAUAAUGUGUUUAUUUUGCUUCAGACAGUGGUCUCUCUUGGAAGUGUCUUAACUUACUUCUGUACCUGAUUUAAUUAAGAUCCAUUAAAAUUUCUAAAAGACAAAUCAAUGUGAAAAAUAGUGCAAAUUAUUAUUUUGGUUCAUGUUGGCCACCAAACCCUGAAAUGAAAUGUGAGAUAUGUCUUCAUAUGUUUUGAUGGCCAAACAAAUUUGGUUGAAGCUGUUCUCUAUGAAAGUUAUUAUCAUCAAAUUUGAAAAAGUGAUGCAAAACUUCAAGCAAUGCAGUGCCAACUUGUGCUUUACCUCACUUGACUUACUUCUUAUUUAUGUAUUUGUUCAUUCAUAACCCAUCUUCUUGGAAGCAGGAUUUAAGUUGCCUCAGUUUGUUUAACUCAAGACAUGACAAAUGUGGCAGGGGGGAUGUGUGUGUUCCAAAACAUAAGGUUAGAGGCAAAAUUGCUCAUCUUUAUACACAUUCAUUCAGGUUUCAUUUUAUG